CGCUGAUCCCCACAAAGCUGCUCGGGUCGCCUCGUUACCAUACCAAAAGGCCUAGGCUGGCUCAAAGAACCCCUUUCUCUGGGUUUUAGCAACUUCACGGCGACUGUCUGGCAAUGCCCAGAACAAACGGCUCCACAAAGGCCGGCGUUGCCUCGGAAUGCAAAUGGUGCGGGCUCCGCCGAGCUGCUCGCGGUCCCGAGCCUGAUGCUGCAUUGUGCAGCUCGCGUGCAGACACCGAGAUUGACACGGGCGUCACGUGACGGAUUAGGGCUCCAGGAAAGUUUUCAAAGCGACCACAAUGGGGGGCUCAGCCUGAUCUGGUAUCUCCCACAGUUUAGCGGGAGAGAAAAUCAGGAUAUAUUCUCAUAUGUAAUAGGAUUAUCUUUUCCAUUUCAAGUUCUAUACAGCAUGUAAUUUAUUUUUAAUUAGGAUUAUAUCUACCAGGAAAAGGAACUAGACUUCGUUGAAAAGUGUAAUUCUAAAAAUGGAUGGAGAAAGGGGCUAUUUUUUAACCUUUUAACAACAACAACCAAAAGCACAGGGCCAUGUUUUUCUCUCGUUUUGUUGAAUAAACCUCGCAAGGAACUCUGCAUGCAGCUAAUGCUUGGCCAAGCAAAGAACAGAGGCAGAUCUUUAGGAACGUUCAAUUUGUUCUUGUAGAGAAACCACAUUUUGCAAAAAUCACAGACUUCCUAAAUCUCUAGAUUUUGCUAGCGUUGGUACUCUAGAAAUGCAACGAAGCUCUUUCCUACUUUUCAAAUAUUUGGUUAAAAAAAGUUUUACGUUGUGUGUGUGUGUGUGUGUGUGUGUGUACUGGGGUGUCAAUACCCACAUUGUGCCUUUUAAACUUUAUACUAAACCACAGAACAGCAUUCUCCAUAAGCCUGAUUCAAAUUCAGCAGUCAGACAAUGAGACAAAUUGGAGGUGAAGGUAAUUAUUGUUCAAACAUUGAUUUUGGAUUGUUCCCACAUGUUAGAUGUUCACAAACCCUGGACUUUUCCCAGGUCUUAGUGGAUAAAGUAAUUUUUAAUUUUCACUUUUUGCUUUUUGAGACAAGGUCUCUUUGUGAUUCAGGCUGGCCUUGAACUGACUUUGUAGCCCAAGAUGGCCCCUGCCUCAGCCUCUCUAGUGCUGCAUUUACAACGUGACCAAACAGCAUUUUGUGUGUUCCUUAUGCCAGAAGACACUGAAGGGGCUUAUUUCACCUGAUAAGAAGCAGGGGUUGUUGACUGCGGGCUUCCAACUCUUCUGUUUGAAUUCAAAUAUUAUCAUCAUCAAUCCUCUCUAAUUACUUGUUCCCUUUGUAUAUUAAUUCCCAAAUCAGCAAAAAAAAAAAAAAAAAAAAAAAAAAGGGAGGGGGUGUGGUAAUAAUAGUACCUGUUAAGGUUGUUUUGAGUAGUGUGUAAGAUGAUAUAGUACCAGAUGCUAAGGAAUAUGUUAGUUAUUUAAGUUUAAAAGCGUAAGAACAAACAUCAGGCACUAUGUAAUCUAAACCUCUUAUUAUAGGUGAGGGGUUUGUUUAGGACUAAACCAUCUCUCUCAAAAAAACCCAAUCCAAACCAAAUCAACCAAAAAACAAAACAACAACAAAAACUCCAACUCUCCUAAUUUUUGGUCUGUUUCUUUGCUUCUGAUUUUGUGUUCCCAUUUUCUAGAGAGAGUAGAUAUAAUGUUAGGUAGGUAGUUCCUAAAGGAAGGAGAAGAUUUUCAUGGGAGUCUUCAAGUAACCUCAUUGCCCUACGGUUGUUUCAAAAUAUUUUCAUGCACUGUUCUCUAGUUGUGAUCAGAGAUGAUCACUAAAAGGAGCUUUCAUUUUUCCUUACCUAUUUCGAUGAAAGCCUAAUAUCAUGCCUAAAAUCACCUAGACAGAUAGUUCUGAUGGACAGCAACCCACAGUUCUGGAGGACCAGGGGUAUUCCAAAGGAGUUUUUUCUGUAGGCUAUUAUAUUAGUUAGUGUUCCCAUUGCUGGGUCAAAAUACCCAACACUCGUAAAUUAAAGGAGAAGUUUAAUGUGGUUCGUAGUUUCAGGGGCUUCAGUCCAUGGCUGGCUGGCUGUAAGGCAGAAACAUCAUUUAGGAAAGGCAUAACAGAGCAAGAAUGCUUAGUUUAUUUUUCUCUGGUGGGAGGAACAGUGACAGAACUGGGAGACACUAUAUGUAACGCACAAGGCCACAACUCUAUAACCUACCUCGGAGUGUGCUUUACUAACUUUUCUUUGUGUUUCUCAAUCCAAUUCAGUUGCUGUAUCAAGAUGAAUGGCCACAGACACCCAGGAGCAUCAGGCGACUUCCAAAAACUUAUACUGAACAGUGUGCAACCAACACUGAGCCCUGUGCUUCCGCUCUGUCAGUCCACUAGAGCUGUCCCUGAAAAGUUUAAACAGCAGGAUCCUCUGCGGGCAGGAAGUGUGAGAUCUUCCCUGAGGAAAUGAGAAAAGAAUUCUGUGGCAAAAAGAAUGGCAAUUACAGGAAAUACUGGUGAACAUCCGUUAGUGUUCCAGUGACCAGUGACUGACAAGUACUCAGAAUAGAGAACUGCCUCGUUGUGCUCCUGGCCCUCAGGGGUCUUUCUUGGACUCCCUAUCUGUCCUAUUAUUGGCUCAUGCUCUCAAAAAAGUCUUACCUGGACAUGGCACUUAUUGAGAGCACAAGUGCCUAUCUGUAUGGGAUUCUUAGUUCUCAACAUCUCAUAUCCAUGACUCAAGCAUUUCAGUCUCCUGGAGCACUGCGGUUACAGGACUGUGCCACCAAAGAAGGGCAACUUUAUAAAGUGCUUGGUUCAAUGUGCCACUACUUCAAUGGCUGGCACUUAGUAGGUGAUUUCCAAAGGCCAAUCAGUGUCAAGGGCACGCUUCCCGAUGGCUUCUAUUUGGAUUCUGCAGCAAGAAGGGGCCCAGGGUGUCCCUCAGACACAGCUGGCACAGGUAGCGGCACAGCAUCACUGCCUGCGUGGACCUGCUGCCCAGACUGAGGUCCUCACACAACAAAAAGGCAUCUGCACUCAUAUUAUGUAUCUGCGGGGAGGACCAAGAGUUGCUGUGGGAAUCUCUCGAAGAAGACUAGGCAAUCGUUCCCAGGUAACAGACCCACCCAAAUCAAGCCUGAUUUUUAUCAGGUUUCAUCAGACCAUUUCUGACCUGGUUGAUUUCACAGAUCUUAUCUGAGCCUUUUGCUUAAAAUACGGGUGGUGUGACAACGGUAACAGAGUCUGUGUUGAAGUAAGUGGUCAAUACGUGUUAGUCAAUAUUACUGCUGUAGGGCAGGGAUGGACAACUGGGCAGCCUGAGGGCCAGCACCCAGUGGCUCAUACCUCUCUUUGGCUUGUUUCCAGAGUUCCAAAACCAGAGGCCGUUAGGACAGAAUGUGCUGUUGGUUCUUGCCUCAUCUCAGGCCUGGUUCAUAGUCACUAGCUCCCUGCCUGGUACCUCACAUGCUGAGUUUGCAGCCCCUCUUCUGUCCUGGUCCUGACAAGUGCAUCAGGCAGCAGUGACAGACAUGGCUGGGAGGUGCAGAGAGGUGUUCGUGUAUGUGCAUGUUCUGUCUCUUGCUCUGGGUUAGACUCCCACCAGGCUUAGGCCACAAGAAUGCGGACCCACCCUUGAAAAGAUCUGUCUCCUUGGUAUCAGUGGUGCUCCUCUCCACCUCCUACUUACUUGGAUAAGUUGCCUUGCAACGCCAAUGUGUCCACAAAUUGCUGAGAGUCUUGAGAAAGCAUAGAUUCUGGCUCAGUAGAUCUGGGGUGGAACCUAAUGUUCUGCAUGUCUAACCAGCCCCUGUGGUGCUGAUGCUCCAGGAUUUCAGGAACAAUGGAACCUUGGGGAAAAGUAUUUCUGUUGGAGCCUGAGCAGUCUGAAGACUUCCAGUCAGUGGCAAGCCAUUGUUUCUCUCCCCCAUGAACUCUCCGGUAUCUGGGAAUGAAUGGCCAACAGGAAAACAUUCCUCUCUGCAGAGAAAUAUUUUAGAUUGAUGCAAUCUCAGAGGAUUUCUUAGUUUUCUGCCUUUCAUUCAUUUUGCACUGGUAAACUUUCUGUGGACCAUAUUUUAGACAUCUUUUUAUUUUUUAUUGUGUAGGAACUUACUGCUUACAGUGGUUAGCAGAGUAUAGUUCUUGGACCAGCAGCAUCAGCAUCACUGUGAAUUUGUUAGAAUUAUAAAUGUUUGGGCCUUGUUCCAGACCUACUGAGUCAGGAACUGGGAGUAGAGCCUGGCCCUCUCAGUACGGAGCCUUUCAGGUAAUUCCCAUGCAUACUGCAGCUUGAGAAUGGCUGUCCUAAGAUCCAAAUUCGUUAGAUGAAUUUCCAAAGAAGGCCCCCAGAUCUGGAGGCUUUUGGGGAUCUGCGCAAGUUUCUGAAGCUUGUUACUCAGUAGAUAAUUUCACAACUGGGAGUCAGGGAGAUGAUGCCAGGAAGGAGGUUUGAAGGAUGGCAGCUUCAGGUGAGGAAAAGCAGGAGCAAAUGAUCUACCCCCUGGGGAUAAUUCUUUGGCUUUAUGCAAAUGUUCUAAGCAAUAAAACCAGCCAGUGAUGUACAGGAAAUAUAUGCUCCCCAUGCUGAGUGGUCUAAAUGGAGUGUUACCAGUGAUUGGGUUUCCGAGACCCUAUUACACAAGGCCUUAAUGGCAUGAAAUACACCACACCUGCUAAAUGAAACACACACAAGGACAUUAUAGGCGUUUUCAAAAGCAUUUUAUUUUGCAUAAUAUAGAUUUUUUUUUCUAGAACAGAAAUGGUAUAUUAAAAAGUCAGCAGGCAUAGAGCUUGUUUUAAAAUUAUUAUUACUUUACUCUGGUGCUGCAGACUUUUAUUUUCUCCUUCCUGCUGCUAUUGCACAGAAAUGUAGAAUAUUCUAUUCAGAAGAAACCCUAGAGAUCAGCGACUCUAUUGCUGCAAUUUACACUGGUGUCUGGAGACGUCAGUUUACUUGCCUUGAGCAGAGGGAACUGGGGCUGAUAUCUGCACUCCUGAUUCUCAGACUCAGUGAUUUUUUCCCCCCAGGAAUCUCAGGCCAGGAAAGUAGUCUUGUGCAUUUUCUUGUGAAUGUCAGAUAGCAUUAGAGGUACAGGGAAGGGAGGUGCAUGCAUAUUAUUUACACAUGCGCACAACCUGGUGUUAGCAGCCAGGGUAUGCUUCUGAAACUGUAGACAGAAGCAUCUUCCAUUUAGAAAAUGGCUCAGGCUAAUAAUUUGGUUUCUAGGAAACUCUGCUGAAGUUCAUGUGUCAAUCACAUGCUUCCAGUGGUAGGGAACUCAGGGCUCUGACAUGAGUGGUUGCCCAGCACCUUCUCUUCCAGGGACGCUGCAUCUGCUUUCUUAUUACUCCCCUUGAUGUCUUAAUAAAUUUUUGAAAAAGGAUUGCACAUUCAUUUUGGACUGGGCUCAACCAAUCAGGUGCCUAUUCCUUCCCCAAAACUUAGAUAUUCUUCCCCAUGUGUGCUUUUGAGCACAGCUUACCCGAGAAUCCUUUAACUUUUUCCUAAAGUGAGUCGUAUGUAGAUUGGGUAUGUACUCCAAAAUCGAAAUGAUUAGGAUUGUGGAAUAGUUACACAAGCAUACUGAGAUAUUUUAGGAAGGGGGUUAGGUCUCAACAUGAAAUUACUUUACAUCUCAUAUAUAUCUUAUACACAGAAACUGUGGGAAAUUUUAUAGCAUGGUGUCAGGAGUUUUAAUACAUGAAAUAGUGGGUGUUGAGCUGUCAGGUGUUUGUCUCAGUCACAGGGACUUACUGUCUGUGUGCGCCUGUCAUUUCCAUACUCUGGAAGGCUGAGGCAGCACAAUCAAAAGUUCAAGUCCAUAGUAGGCAACUUAGUGAUUUAAGGAGACUAUCUCAAAAAAAAAAAAAAAAAAAAAAAAGUGGAGCAGGCAUAUAAUUUAGCGUAAAGGCCCUUGAUUCAACUCCUAGUAUUGAGGGGUUAAAAAGAAAAUGAUUACAAAUCCAUCAUAUAGAUACAGAAAGAUUUUGCAUUUUGGAGCAUUUUGCAUUUUCAUAUUAAGGAUGCUUAACCUGUGUUAUAAUAUUAAUAUUGUAUUAUUAAUAAUGUUAAUUCCUAUUGCAUUGCUUUUUCUUAGGCUAACACUCAGGUAGGUCGCAUAAUUGUCAUCAUACAAGAAGAGAAGGCUGAGGGUCAGAGACAUUUACUGCUUCAAAGGCCUUUAGACAGGAGGCAGAGCUGGACCCAGGUCUGUUUUCAGAGGACAGAGACUUAACCAUUACACUGUGUGCCUCAUGGGGUGUCUCCUCAAUGCUUGUCACCUGUGUUUCCUUGUUUCUCUUUGUCUGUAGAGGAGAGGUGUGUCUUUUACAGAGGGAACUGUGUUCUUUAAUUAUUUCUGCUCAGUGCCAUGCCUAGCACAGACAGGGAGCUUAAUGAAUAUUUAUUUAAUAAGGGUAUUUGGUGGAAUUUAAUGUGCAUGUAGCCACAUAAGAACUCCUGCAGACCAAAGAAACUUCCAGGUUUAUGUUUAAAUUUUUUUCCUGUGAAUGAAACUGCACUGUAUGGUUGGUGAAAGUAUUUGCAGUACUUUAUAUUUGACUUCAUGAAUUAUUUAUGGAAUUAACACCAGAAUCAUGAUUAAUUUGUGGAGGAAAGAAGCUGCUGCAUGGCGUGGGGCAUGUUUUCCUCACAGGAAUGAGUCACCAUUCCAGAGCCUUCGGGGUGAAGACUUGGGGUGUUAGUUUCCAGGCGUAACAGGCACUUGAUCUCCCCUUUUGCUUCUCUUUCUCCUAACUGAAAAACCCAGGAACCACCAGUUAGUUCCAGACCAGGGGCAAAUGCCCACUGCCUUUCAGCAAUGAGUCAACACAGCUUUCCUUAAUUUUUGGUUGACGUGCGUGUUAGACACCUGUUGUGUCCUGAGUGAUAUGCGUGCUUCUGUUCUUAAUGAGAUGCAGCGUGGUAACGAUAGUCAGGCAGGGCAACACGAUUGUUACAUUAUCAGGUGAUUGGGGGCCAGGCACACACGUCCUCUAGUGAUGUGGGCAGCAGUGUGAGGACAUUCUUGGGGACAAGGGCUCUUACUUGAACCAAGUACUAAAAGGUAGAAAGCAAUCAUUUAGCUAGAGAUAGAUAGGGAAGAGUAGAGGUAUGUGCUUUCCAGUGGUGUAACCCUGAAACCCUAAAAAGACCAGGGAAAAGACCCGAGAAGAGGGGAAGCCAUUGGAGCUGAGGAGGGGCCCCAAAGGACUGAGACAAGGUGGGAAGGGGAUGCUGGUAUUGCCUAAGGUUUGAGUUUUGUCCUUGAGGCUGGGGUGGCAGAUGGAGUCAACAUUGUAGACCGCCAGCAUGGCUCCUGUUCCAUCAUUAGGCUGGCUCUGCAGAGAGCAAGAUCUUUUCUGUGUAAAGGUGCACAGUGGCUUUUUGGGCUUAUGGGUCCCCCAUAAAAGGAAGAGAAAGGCGAGGAAGAGGUGCUGGUUGCCCAAAGUGGGGAGAGUUGGGAGGAGGUGCUAUUGAGUGAGGACACAACCAUGCUCCAUCAGCAAGUUUGCUUUCUGAGACCCACAGUGUAAUUGCAAUCUCUUUCCCAUUUUCUUCAAACAUCAUGAGGAAAUAUAACUGCAGCUGGGUUCAGCAGCCCUCGCUUUGGAGCAAUAAACUACAAAUGAUCACAGUUUACUUUGAUGCUGUUGGAAUUCCCCCUUGCUGGUCGCCGUGGAUUCUUGCCGUUUACGGGCUGCAGAGUCGCCUGUGUGCCCUUGCUCUGCUUUUGGAAUGAGCCUUCGCCUCUCCGAGCUUGUCCUAGCGUGUUAUUUAUUGUGCUGCUCUUUUGUAGACUUGAGCAGCGCUCCAGGCCAUGGAGCGGCUGUGACCAUACUUAGGGGUCUAACCCCGCUGCCCCAGCCUUUACGGGAGAAGCUUGUUCUUGACUCCAUUUACUUACAAGUAGAAAAGAAUCAGAGAGCCCUGCAGCGUGAAGGUGGAGGCAAGGUACUCCAGAUAAGUGUUUUCCCCGCUCUGUAUUACUUAUUUAUUAAAGUCAGUGAGGCAUAACUAAGAGAAAGGAAAGGAACCGAGGAAAUAGAGAAUACAAUGGCCCCUCAGAUUUUAAUGGGAGAGAUGGCUAGAAGUGAUUCCUAAAUUAUUAAAUAAAUCGAUUCGAUUCUUGAAGCUGGCCUCCAAGGUGUGUUUGUCAGUUUCAUUAUCAUUGUCUUCAAGGGUAGAAAGAAUCACUCAUGAAGAAAGUUUUAUUUUUUCCCCUCUGAUUUAUGUUGCAAUUCAUGGCCCCUGCCUGAUUAAACACACUUCUUCUGUAAUGGGAGCUGUGUUCUUUUGUUUCCUUUCCAUUUCGAUUCCAUUCAUUUUAUAUAGGCUCACAGACAUGUAACAGGAUCUGGCCAGCUGUAGGGGAGACAGACUUUGGACAAUCUUGAUCCCUUUUCUGUUACAGAACUGUUUGGUCACAGACGAAUUCAUUCUACCAUAAUUUGGCCACACGCAUAAGUCAUUUAGUUACUUGCCAACAGAAUCCAGUGACUACCAGAAUAAUGUGUUGUGUCAUCCCAGAUCACAAGAAUAACACCUGAAUGCCUUUUAAAGACAACAGAUUUUAUUUUGGGGUUUUGGGGGUGACUGCAGUGAUGUUUACUCCUUUCUCAUUUCCUUCACUCCCGUGAAACACCUCGACUGCCUCCAACACAAUGGUAAAAAAAAAAAAGGCUGAACAUCUAAAUUCUUUUUUUAAUUAUUCUCCUGAGGAAAGCAGGCCAACCACCGGGGUGCAAAAAAUUUAAACCAUAAAUAACAAGUCGAAAGGAAAUAAAAGAAAUGACACCAGAAUAAACUAAGCUAUUAGCUGAAAGCUUUACAUCACCAUCCUCCUCCUUGGGCCUGAAAAAAUCUCAGGAAGGUGGUUAUUUUCCAAAGAAUGUCAUUAGAGUCUGCAGCAAUUAAAAAUAGAUGCAGGGAACAUUGCCCCAUGAUUUCUGGACGUACUUGGGGCACUGAAACAUGAAAUAUUUUGGGGAACAUAGUUCCUCACUCCUGCCCUGAGGGCAUGCAGUGCUAAAGGACUGGGCCAGUCCUCUGAGGGUCCUGCUGCUGCUCAGGUGUGGGAAGAAGGAUAGAGACAGGAUAAAGGAAGUGAGCAAAGUACUGGACAGUGAUGAGUGAUUUCCAAGAUAGAAGAGGCCUUUCUCUGGUUCUGCUGCGUAUAAUUGUUUCUGUCAAGUCAGUAUACCUGGUAAAAACCUCCAUUCACACCUACAAACCUGCUAGGUUUCCAAUUACUGGUUUGAUUUUCAGUUCCUCAGAUGGGAAGCAUUUGUGUAUUUUGCCAACAUGGAACAGUAAAGUUAGGUGCAGAGGUGCUCCCGGGUACCCGGGACUGGAGGAGGCACCAAGUUCCCAGAGACAGCCUGGCUGCCCUGUGGCUGACAAGGGAAUCACAUACCCGUCACCCAGAGGCCGGGGGAGUGCUUGGGAUGGUCUGCCCUGUGCUCUGCCAGGGGAGUGCGUUUUGUUUUGGUGGCAAGGACCGAGCAGCAAUCUGGCCUUUUGUGUCUGCCAACGUGGCAGUUUGAGACAGAAGAACAGUGGGAGAGCAUCAGAAAGCUUUGCUCUUCUAAACCCAGCUUAACGAGAGUUGAUUGGGAAAAGGAAGGUGCAGGAAAGUGUGCAUAACAUGUCUGUCUGUAGAAUGAGCCAACACAAGCUGCUCAGACUAUAUAGGUGUGUUUAAAGGGCUGGGCUGGACUGCAUAGGUCCCGAGGAACACAUAGGACACACUCUGAGUUCUUAAAAUGAGUUUCAGGAGUGGGGCUGUGAAAAUGGGUGAAGAUGCUGAUGUGAGAUGGGGUAAAGUACCAUGACAACAGCAUUUAUCUGAUCACUCUAUUUAUACAAAACGUAUAUUUUUACGCACAUUAAAAUUUAACAGUUCCACUGUGCUCAUCUUUCCUCCAAAAGUGUCUCUGAAAAAUUGUCUUGGUGUCAGGUACCAAACGCUCAGUUUUAUGUGGGCUCUUUUUCUGUAGUAUUUAAGGUCACUGCUCUGCAGCUUUUCUUUAUGGCAUAAAGCUGAGAAAGAGCAGAAUACUUCACCACGGGGAAAAGCCAUUAUUAACCGCCCUUCUUUUCCCUCCUGCCUGUCCCAUCAAGUGGACGCUGGUGCAAGAGAGAGUUUUCUCAAAACAGCCUGGCUCUUCCGUGAUGGACGUGGUGCCCUUUGGGCAGACAGAGUUAUAGUGAGGAGACCUCAAGAGACCCGAACUGACAUUGCCUGGGCUGCCAGAGCCCUGGAGCAGCUGGAAUGGUCAGUUCUCUCUCAUUGCUCUGCAGGGAAGGACAGAUAUUGUGAAAAACAUGUGAGAUUUGAAGAUGGAAAUGUCAGGGCAGUGGUUUCCAGCUCAGUGUAAAAAAGAGCUUUUUAAACACCAGAGCUAAUAACUGUCUGAGUCAUCUCUCGGGAGAUGGGGGUGGAUUGGGGGGACUCCCAGCUGUAGGUUCAGAGUAAAAGAGGUCUGUGGGCACUGCUCCGCACCGUCCCACUAGGCAGCUUAGUCAUGCGCCAAGCAGUGUGGUUGGGAAGGUGGCUGGGUCAACUGAAGAACUGAAUUUUUAACUGUAAUUAAAAUUUAAAAUAAAAACUGAAGCAGUACAAAAUUUUUUCCCACUAACUGUGCUUCGUUUUGAUAGGAUUGCAUUUCACUGAAUAAUUGAAAAUUUAGCAGCCAGAUAAGAGAUGUGUGAAAAAAUGAGAGUUUGAGGAUUUAGAUGAAAAAGUUAAAAUAUUUCAGCAACUUUUUAUAUUAACUGCCCGGUGACAUGUUGCAAAUGUUGGGUUAAAGUACAUUGUUGAAAUCAGUGUCAGUUUUAGAAAGUGUGGCUACUCUAAAAAAAUUACCCGUGUGGUUCAGAAGGGCACGCGUGACUCCUGGACUCCCAUGAGUCUGUGCUGAUGUGGGCAGCUGGCAAUUGUCCAGCUACAAUUCUUGGAUGUGGAUUCUGGUUUCUCCUCCUUAGAAAGAUGCUCCAGGAGCACGUGUGGCUUCUGUGCUGGCCAGCGAGGACAGUUAUUAUUGGUGGUGACUGUGGGAAUCCUGUGACAAGUGCCCAGACUUCAGAGAAACGACUGCAGCAAUUAUAUCUGGAGCCCUGGGAAAUUCUGACUGAAGAAUUCUGAUGUCUAUGAUUAUACCCUGCACGAGGGAUGUGGAGGUGCGUAGCUGUCAUGCUAAGGGGACAGAGAGAUAUGCAGGAGGUGAUUAUUAUGGUACUCUGCCAACUGAUGAGCAGCAAGCAAUAUUUUGUGAGAGCUUCAUAUUUAUUGUGUAGUGACUCUUCACUAGCAGGAAUGUUGUCUUGUAGGAAACAGUUAACAGGGUCUACAGACGUUCUGAAUUGUGGUGAACAGGGGAUGCAGCAGCCAACCUCUAGUGCGGACGGUGCCCCACGGCUUAUGAGCUCAGCCUGUGUGUGUGGUUGCAGUUCCUGAAACCCAGAUGAGCCAUCUCCCAGGCAGUCGAAACAGUGGAGCAGCCAUGAAACUGGGAAGAAAAGCAAAAGCUGGAAGCUGCCUGUCCACGAGGGCAGGACUUUGUUUCUGUUUGUGCACCAGUGUUCCUCUCCAUCCAGAAGAGCACCUGGCUCAGGGACCGAGAUCCAAUGAAGAGGGUCCUGGGGCCCCAGGUGAUGGCACUCUACCCUGCCCAGAGGCUGAGGAGAGAGAUCAUGAGAGGGUGUAGACGGGACCAGCUGGAGGUCAGCAGCAGGGUCCUUUGGUCCUCUGCUCUGGAGCUGUGCUCAGUGUCAAAGGGACUGCACUGGAGCGUCUUCAUCAUGACUUCCUGCCUGUUGUGGGAUUUCCGGCUAGCUUCAUCCAAAGACAUUAGCCCUACUGGCCAGCUGCCAGCCCUGGGGCUCCCUCCAAGGACUGAUUAUUGGACCUCAAAUCAAGCACCUGCAACCUCAUAGUGUGGCAAAGGCUCCUCUUGAGUGUUCAUAUUUGAUCUGAUGUUUCUGAAAUUGUGUGUAUUCUGGAUUCACUAAUGAGAAAGACAUCAAAAACCCUUG
Molecule: long non-coding RNA, 12003 nt
Organism: Cavia porcellus (domestic guinea pig)
Lineage: Eukaryota; Metazoa; Chordata; Mammalia; Rodentia; Caviidae
Exons: 11
Source: RefSeq, a predicted model, not a curated record